GACAUAGGUUGCGAACGUUAUCCGGAAUUAUUGGGCGUAAAGGAUGCGUAGAUGGUUUGAUAAGUUAUCAGUGGCAAAUCGGGGCUCAACCUCGUGGAAGUUGGUAAUACUGUCAUACUUGAGUGCAGGAGAAGUUAACGGAACUCUGUAUGGAGCGGUAAAAUGUGACGAUAUAUAGAAGAACACCAAUAAGGCGAAGGCAGUUAACUAUUCUGUUACUGACAUUGAGGCAUGAAAGCGUGGGGAGCAAAACGG
This 255-nucleotide ribosomal RNA is filed under the name uncultured bacterium. RNAcentral's name for it is "partial 16S ribosomal RNA". It matches the Rfam family "Bacterial small subunit ribosomal RNA", at positions 524 to 776 of the family's 1533-position model. The record is from RNAcentral.